AUUGAACGCUGGCGGAAUGCUUUACACAUGCAAGUCGAACGGCAGCACGGACUUCGGUCUGGUGGCGAGUGGCGAACGGGUGAGUAAUAUAUCGGAACGUAUCCAAUAAUGGGGGAUAACUAAUCGAAAGGUUGGCUAAUACCGCAUACGUCAUACGGGAGAAAGCUAGGGACCUUAGGGCCUGGCGUUAAUGGAGCGGCCGAUAUCGGAUUAGCUAGUUGGUGAGGUAAAGGCUCACCAAGGCGACGAUCCGUAGCUGGUCUGAGAGGACGACCAGCCACACUGGAACUGAGACACGGUCCAGACUCCUACGGGAGGCAGCAGUGGGGAAUUUUGGACAAUGGGCGAAAGCCUGAUCCAGCCAUUCCGCGUGAGUGAAGAAGGCCUUCGGGUUGUAAAGCUCUUUCGCAAGAGAAGAAAACUUACCCUCUACCAUAGGGUGAGGUUGACGGUAUCUUGAUAAGAAGCACCGGCUAACUACGUGCCAGCCGCCGCGGUAA
This 500-nucleotide ribosomal RNA is filed under the name uncultured bacterium. RNAcentral's name for it is "partial 16S ribosomal RNA". It matches the Rfam family "Bacterial small subunit ribosomal RNA", at positions 30 to 523 of the family's 1533-position model. The record is from RNAcentral.